Molecule: ribosomal RNA, 462 nt
Filed under: Streptococcus cristatus
Lineage: Bacteria; Bacillati; Bacillota; Bacilli; Lactobacillales; Streptococcaceae
Description: bacterial SSU rRNA
Rfam family: Bacterial small subunit ribosomal RNA
Source: RNAcentral
GACGAACGCUGGCGGCGUGCCUAAUACAUGCAAGUAGAACGCUGAAGGGAGAGCUUGCUCUUCUGGAUGAGUUGCGAACGGGUGAGUAACGCGUAGGUAACCUGCCUGGUAGCGGGGGAUAACUAUUGGAAACGAUAGCUAAUACCGCAUAACAUUGACUAUUGCAUGAUAGUCAAUUGAAAGGUGCAAUUGCACCACUACCAGAUGGACCUGCGUUGUAUUAGCUAGUUGGUGGGGUAACGGCUCACCAAGGCGACGAUACAUAGCCGACCUGAGAGGGUGAUCGGCCACACUGGGACUGAGACACGGCCCAGACUCCUACGGGAGGCAGCAGUAGGGAAUCUUCGGCAAUGGACGGAAGUCUGACCGAGCAACGCCGCGUGAGUGAAGAAGGUUUUCGGAUCGUAAAGCUCUGUUGUAAGAGAAGAAACGAGUGUGAGAAGUGGAAAGUUCACAACUGUG